GGGCUUUGUACGUGAAGAAAAUCCAAUAAAAUUCUUGAAAACUUCCGCUUGGGAGACACAGCGUUUAAAAAUAAAGGCUGUUGUAAAACUGGUAGGAGGAGAGAGGAAGGGCGGAAAUACAGUUCGAGUCCUGAGGAAGCUAAACUACAACUCCCAGGAAGCCACGGGCUGGGCUUCACGUUACGCCUGCGUUGCGACGCUUCAGGACUCGGUUCGCGGCCACACACUUUUUUCAGCAACAAAGAGAAACCCAAGGAGCGCAAACUGGCGAAGCAGCUACGCCUUGACGACCACGGUAUCUUCCUGAGGGUGGUGGUUCCAAUCUUCGCUUCUAAUGGACCAAGGAAACCAAUAGCUGCCCCGUUGUACCCGUUAGCCACGUGACCAUCCCGGGUCCUGUGACUCUGGAGCUCAGCUGCCGAAGUUUGUUACCCUGACAACCGCUGGCCCAUGGGGACCUUCGGGAAAGCGCGGGAUUCAGAGGCAAAGGUAGGUCAGGCGUGGACGCUGGCUCGCCUUCUAAAAUACCUUAGCCAAGGUUGUGCCUUAAAGCUUUCAUUUGUCGGGUCAUUACCCUCUCCGCCCGAACUCCACUGCAGAUGCGUCUUCGUUUACCUGCCAGCAUCCAAAUUCGCGCUUUCUGGAGCCAGGACGCCGCCAAACUGAAGCCCUUUUGAUGGGUUCCGCCUCUAAUCAAGCUUUGGGCAAGACUUUAACCGCGGCCACUCAGACCUGAUCCAAAAUGCUGAUAAAGGGAGGGGGUAUCGUUCUGCAGGUUAGGGAAAGUACGGUCCGGGGAGCUGGCCGACUUCCUCUCUAGCAUAAAAGAACGCUGGGGUUUGUGGAGCCUCAAGGAGUUAAAAUCCAGAAGCUAGGGCAGAUCUGAAAUUGGGUUCUUUAUGGGGGAAGAGGAUAGCUUUGCGUUGCAAACCACUGGAUUCCACUUAAAGUGUUCAGGGCCUUGUUUUUGUUGGCUUCCGUUUCCUUGCUCCCACCCCCAUAGCGCUAACUUGCAUACUAUAAAAGUAGUCUUUUAAGUACUGAGUCUGUUAAAUCUGAUUGUCUAUAUCUGGAAGUGAAUUUUGCAAAAGGAUUAACAAGGAUUGGAAAAUAACUAGCCGAAUCCGGGAGCACUGACUGGUCUUUACAAAGAAAAAAAUGGUGGUUCUUUCAGUUUGCUGAGAUUCUCUUUGAAGACCUGGAUUGUGUCUGAGAGUGUUGUAAAUUCUUUAGAAUGUUUGCUUUGGGAAAUUAAAAUUAUUGACAAUGGCUCAUUACUCUAAAGAGGAGCUGGAUGAAGAAUUUGAACAGUUUAUGAAGGAGGUAAGUUUAUGUCUUUUAAAAGCAGUAUUGUAAAUUUGUCUCAUCUAGUUCUCUUCCAUUUCAAAUGCUGCUCCACCUUCUAAUUGAAUGCCAUCAUUUCACCUGGCCUCCUGCAACUAUUCCCAACCAGUGGCCUUCACCACAAUCCAGCCAGAUGAGCUGUCAUUUUUCAUCUGACACUCUUCAUCCCCAAUAUAAAACCAUAUGUCUUCCUGUCUCAUGUAGAAUAAAAUCCAAACUCCUCAUGUUGCCUUAUGAAGGCCACUAUAAUUUUACUCAUGUCUACCUUACAGGGUUUAUAUCACUCUUUCCCUUUGUCCACUUUAUUUACAGUGGCCUUGUUUCCCCCACCCUUGUCAUACCAUUUCACCUUAAGGCAGUGGUGGUGAACAUUUAGAUCUUUCAGUGAUAAACAGCCCACUGCAGUACAUGUGCCAUAGGUUCGCCACUACUUCUUAGUGGCUGUGUAGUGCCUGUUCCCUCCAACAGGGUUGUCAUGUUAACUAAUUCUUCACUUGGUUGGUGAAGAUCUUUAAAUGUCAAUACCUCAAAGAAGCUUUUUGUGAUAACUCAGUAAAAAGUAACCCAGUCACUUCUUAGUAUACCAUGUAUUUAAUUCUUUUCAUAGCACUUAGCACCAUUCAUUAUUUUUCUUGUGUGGGUCUAUUUUCUACUUUAUAAGAACAUAUGGUCCAUGACAUUAUAGCUAACCUCAUUGUCAAGUAUGCAGGACCUAAAAGAUGCUUGCUAAAUAUCUGCUGAAUGAGUAAUGGGCUAUGCCACAUUCUGUAUAUUUACAUGGAUGGAGGGGACUUGUAGAACAUUCAGGAAAGUGCUUGUUCUUAGAGUGGUUAAUAAGCUUUUUAAAAUUAGCUUUGAGAUAUUGUUG
This 2212-nucleotide long non-coding RNA is filed under the name Heterocephalus glaber (naked mole-rat). RNAcentral's name for it is "lncRNA (ENSHGLG00100049829.1)". The record is from RNAcentral. Lineage: Eukaryota; Metazoa; Chordata; Mammalia; Rodentia; Bathyergidae.